This 386-nucleotide ribosomal RNA is filed under the name uncultured marine Chaetocerotaceae. RNAcentral describes it as "SSU rRNA". It matches the Rfam family "Eukaryotic small subunit ribosomal RNA", at positions 587 to 972 of the family's 1831-position model. Lineage: Eukaryota; Bacillariophyta; Thalassiosirophyceae; Chaetocerotales; Chaetocerotaceae. The record is from RNAcentral.
AGCUCCAAUAGCGUAUAUUAAAGUUGUUGCAGUUAAAAAGCUCGUAGUUGAAUUUCUGAUAGAAGGGAGCGGUUCCGCAUUCUUGCGGAUACUGGCUCGUCUUCCGUCAUCCUUGGGCUUAGUCUCGCUGAUAUUAACUUAUCGGCGUGUACGAUGCCCAUCGUUUACUGUGAGCAAAUUAGAGUGUUCAAAGCAGGCAUUUUGCCAUUGAAUAUAUUAGCAUGGAAUAAUAAGAUAGGAUUUCACGAUUUUAUUUUGUUGGUUUGCGUUGUGAAAUAAUGAUUAAGAGGGACAGUUGUGGGUAUUCGUAUUCAGAUGUCAGAGGUGAAAUUCUUAGAUUAUCGGAAGACGAACGACUGCGAAAGCAUUUGCCAAGAAUGUCUUCA